GACGAACGCUGGCGGCGUGCCUAAUACAUGCAAGUUGAGCGCUGAAGGUUGGUACUUGUUCCAACUGGAUGAGCAGCGAACGGGUGAGUAACGCGUGGGGAAUCUGCCUUUGAGCGGGGGACAACAUUUGGAAACGAAUGCUAAUACCGCAUAAAAACUUUAAACACAAGUUUUAAGUUUGAAAGAUGCAAUUGCAUCACUCAAAGAUGAUCCCGCGUUGUAUUAGCUAGUUGGUGAGGUAAAGGCUCACCAAGGCGAUGAUACAUAGCCGACCUGAGAGGGUGAUCGGCCACAUUGAGACUGAGACACGGCCCAAACUCCUACGAGAGGCAGCAGUAGGGAAUCUUCGGCAAUGGACGAAAGUCUGACCGAGCAACGCCGCGUGAGUGAAGAAGGUUGUCGGAUCGUAAAACUCUGUUGGUAGAGAAGAACGUUGGUGAGAGUGGAAAGCUCAUCAAGUGACGGUAACUACACAGAAAGGGACGGCUAACUACGUG
This 497-nucleotide ribosomal RNA is filed under the name uncultured bacterium. Its description in RNAcentral is "partial 16S ribosomal RNA". It matches the Rfam family "Bacterial small subunit ribosomal RNA", at positions 28 to 507 of the family's 1533-position model. The record is from RNAcentral.